AUAGCCCACGAAAAGCGCUGCAUAUAAAUAUCAUUGCUAAGUUCUCAAUCUCAAUCACACUCCACUUGUGACCGCAACUGCUCAUCCAAGUGGUAUCUAUGUCCGGAGUUAUGUUCGGUGUGUUUGGUUUUAAUCUAUGAUUUGUGAUUUAGUUCUGUUUUUUGAUUAGGGUGUUUGUUUUAUGCUUGUUUUUUUUAUUUAUUUAAGAAUUUUGUUUUGUUCUUGUUAUAUUUUGGUGAUAAGAAGUGCGAAAUUACCCUAUGAGGAGGAUCUCCCAAAAAUUGAUAGGAAGUGCCGUAUGACACUAUACAGCAGCUCUGUUUCAAAAAAUGCUCUCAUCCACCGAUACCAGAUCGCUGUCAUCGGUCGAGUUCAUUAUUUGCUUGUGAAGCUGUGUGUGAGAUUUGAAACGGGUGGCUGAGGGUUUUGUUUCUUCUAAAUCUUCAAAUCAAAUUCUCUCGUUUUUUUUUUAGUUUUAACUUUUUUUUUAAUUCGGUCCGAUGCCACGUCUCUGGUAGCUAAUAUAAGCUCUGACCAAAGAUGCUAUGAUUGGACCAAUAUCAAUUUGUUUUGCAUUCUGAUAGGAAUCUGCUAAUCAUAUAUACUAUGAUUUUGCGGAGCCGUUUUGUGCAAUUACAUUUCUGUAUAAUUAUAAUUUCUGUAUUUUAUUUUUUAUGUUUGGUGUUUUGGUAUUAACGAAGCCGGUGAUGACACAUUUGAUUGGAAUUACCGUCUGAAUAAUUAUAUUCUUUGAUGUAAAUUUCUUGGCUGUGGUACUGAGGCCUCAAAUUACGUUUUUUCUACUCACUUUUUUUAUAAUGCACUUGCAGAUUAGCUUGUAUUAAUUCAACAUUUUUAUUAUUGUUUUAAUGUAAUGAUGUAAUAAUUAUCAUUUUCAAUAUGUAGUAUAGGAUUGAUAAAACUUAGUUGUUUGAAGUUUGUACUUUGUUUUGGAAUUGGAAGGGAGGACUUUGAAACUGAAAGCAGUCAUAUGUAUUCUCUUUUCAUAUCCUCAACGAAUGUUCUUUAAACUAUAGUGAAAGGUUUCCCUUUGUAACAUCAAUUAUGAUUAUAGUGUAAUCUUUAUGUAUUGAUUUGAAAGAUUAAAAGCAUACUGUUGUAAGCAGUGCUUACAGAUUAUAAGCAGUAUUAUUUUUGUUAAAGUUUAACAAAUAACAGAUAUAGAAUGAAAAAGCUAGUACGCAGUUAAUCCAUUAAAGUACCUCUCUAAAGUUACCUACAUUGCACCAGUAUCUAAUAUUUUAUGUCGAAGGCUAGAAUGCAACCAAUCAUGAGAAUUGAAUGUUGUGACGGAGGAUUAGAAAGCACAAAUGAAAUUGAUAAUGGAAUCUUUUUUCAGUUCCUAGUGUCAUAUACAUAUACAACAGUAAGACAGACAUAAACUAUUUUAGUUACAGGAUGCAUUUGUCAAGUUCAUUCUUUUUGGCGCCAUGUGUGAAACUGAAAAUAGGUCUCUUAUGCUUUUCUCAUUUGUUAAUUUUUAAGCUUUUAACCUUAGUUUGAAUUUUAUUUAUAUUUUUGUAGUUGGGUCUGAUGCCACGUCUCUUGUAGCUAUAAAUAUGAGCUCUGACCAGAGAUGCUAUGAUUGGACCUAAAUUAAGAGUGAAUUUCAUUUGUUUUGCAUUCUGAUAGGAAUCUGCUGAUCCUUUAUACUAUGAUUCUGCAGAGCCGAUUUGUGCGAUUACAUUUCAAUAUAUCUUAACUCCUUAUCUUCUAUAAGGCCAAUGAGGACUAAAUUGAUUUGGAAUUACUUUCUGAAUGAUCUUACACUUUGAUGUAAACUUCUGGUCGUUUUGGAGUCUUUGGAUUAGUAUUUUUUGUUUUUUUCCACCAGUUUAAAAAAAAUUCCCUCUAUAGUAUUCCACGUUGUUGUUGUAAUUGUAUUUAUGUAGUAUUUGUUAUUUCCAACUGAUUUACGUUUCUCUUUACUGGUGGUCUCAAAGAUUAAAAGUAAUUUCUUUUGUGGAUUGUUGUUUAAAAUUGGAAUUAAAUUGUCAUUUCCAGCAAAUGAGCACAAAAACAAUGUUUCAAUCUGAAACUGGAACGUGUUGUCUCACCCAAGCAAAGACCUGUUAGGAGAUUUGAUCUCAAUUUGAAAUAUCUCGCAAAUAGACUUGGAUGAUCACAUUUGUAGAUGCCGAAGGCUAGAAUGCCCCUGAUCAUGAUAAUGGAAGGCUCUGAAUAAAGUUCUCCUAAUGAAUCUGUAAAAAAGGUGUAUUCCAAGAUGUAAGAUCUCACUUAUAAUGCUGCCAAAGCUAUUUGGAGUGUCUCUUUUUCAGCCAUUUAGAGUGACAUCGGUUUGGAUUCUUUUUGUUGGAAUGAGUUUGACAUAGCUAUGUGGGAGAUUUCAUUAUAGAAAUUAAGAGUUAUCUAUGAGGUGAUUGCUGGGAUUUUUGAGUUUCUCAGCUCUGUAAUUUGGUUCCAUUGGUUUAAAGAUGCAGACACAGUCCAAAAUCUUAGUCAAUUUUGCCCUGUGGUAUUAGGACUUGUAUAGCACAGUUGUUCCAGACUCAUUUGCAAUAAGUUUUAGGAGCUAAGAUUCAUCAUUGUGUGGUUGUGGUGUCAUUUUUUUUAACAUCUCAACCAUUGUUACAAAGAAAUCGUAAUUUUGAAGGAAAAAAAAUAGUUGGAUUGCUAGCUCAUAAUAGGUUAAUACACCUACAAAUGUCCUCCCCAAAAUCCCAAUCCUCGUUGAUUUACAACCCACUCGUGACUGCAGCUGUAUUGCGGAGUUGUUAUCUUUCAUAUCAUAUUUUUUCUGUUUUAUCUGAGGGUUUUAUCUUUCAUAUCAUAUUUUUCUGUUUUUCAAUUUCAUUUUUUUUAUUCAGUCCGAUGCCACAUCUCUAGUAGCUAUAUGCUCUGACCAAAUAUGCUAUGGUUGAACUAAAAUCAAGAGUGCUUGUCAUUUGUUUCACAUUCUGAUUGGAACCUGUGGAUCCAAUAUACGAUGAUUUUGCAGUGCCGAUUUGUGCGAUUACAUUUGUGUAACAAGAUUUCUUAUCUAUUUAUUUUGUAUCGUGCUUUGGUAUUAAUGAAGCUAAUGAUGACACAACUGAUUGGAAUUACCAUCUGAAUAAUUAUAUAUUCUUUGAUGUAAAGUUCUUGGCUGUGGUACUGAGGCUUCAAAUUAACUCUUUUUCAUUCACUUUUUAAAAACAAAUUUGCAGAUCAACACGUUUAAAUUCAUCAUUUUAUUAUUAUUGUAACAGUAAUAAUAAUUGGCAUUUUUUAUAUUUAGUAUAGGGUUGAUAAAACUUCUCUGUUUGUAGUUUUGACUUUGUAGGGGAAGGAGGUAUUAUGGCUUUGAGGCUGAUAGUAGUCAGGUAUUCUCUUUUGAUUUCGUCAAAGAAUGCUCUUUCAAUUAUGAUUUUCCUUUGUAACAUCACUUAUGAUAAUAGUGCUAUCUUUAUUUAUUGAUUUGAAAGAUCAUAGCAUGUAUAGUGAUCUUCUUUUUGCUGAAGUUACAAUAAGUAACAGAUAUGGAAUCAAAGAGCUUGUAGGCAUGUAAUUGUUGAUGUGAAAGGUUAGAAAGCACACAUGAAACUGACAAUGGAAAGUUCUUUCGGUUCCUAGUGUCACAUACUUAAAAUGCAUUUGUCAAGUUCAUUCUUUCUGGGGAUGAGUGUGUGAGAUUGGAAUCGGUCUCUUUUUCUCAUUUCUUAAUCUUAAAGCUUUUCCUUUUUUAUUAUUUUGGAUGAUUAUUCCAGAUGGACAUGGGUAAAGUACCUUAAACACAAGGCUGAUUCACAUAAGGUUUUCACUACAUUAUGCAAACAAGUGAAAAUGAAAAUGGUUUUUGUAUUGCAACAAUUCGUAGUGAUCAUAAGGAUGAAUUUGAAAAUAAGCUCUUUGAAAACUUAUGUCAAGAGAAUGAAAAUUUACACAACUUUUUCUCUCAUACAACACCUCAACAAAACGGCGUUGUAGAAAGAAAAUUUGAUCUCUUUGGAAAAUGGCAAGUACCAUGAUUCACAAUAUGAAUGUUGCCAAGAACUUUUGAGCAUAAGUAGUGAACGUUGCAUGUAAUAUCCAUAAUAUAAUCUAUACUAGAUCUAUUAUUAAAAAGAUUCCUUAUGAACUAUGAAAAUGAAUAAAGUCCAACAUUUUGUACUUU
This is a long non-coding RNA of Cicer arietinum (chickpea), 4135 nucleotides long. RefSeq lists it as uncharacterized. The record is from RefSeq and is a predicted model, not a curated record. Lineage: Eukaryota; Viridiplantae; Streptophyta; Magnoliopsida; Fabales; Fabaceae.